This 338-nucleotide unclassified non-coding RNA is filed under the name soil metagenome. RNAcentral describes it as "partial contains 5.8S ribosomal RNA, internal transcribed spacer 2, and large subunit ribosomal RNA". The stretch from base 1 to 120 matches the Rfam family "5.8S ribosomal RNA", at positions 35 to 154 of the family's 154-position model. The record is from RNAcentral.
GAUGAAGAACGUAGCGAAAUGCGAUAAGUAAUGUGAAUUGCAGAAUUCAGCGAAUCAUCGAAUCUUUGAACGCACAUUGCGCCCGCCAGUAUUCUGGCGGGCAUGCCUGUCCGAGCGUCAUUUCAACCAUCAAGCCCCCGGGCUUGUGUUGGGGACCUGCGGCUGCCCGCAGGCCCUGAAAACCAGUGGCGGGCUCGCUGUCACACCGAGCGUAGUAGCAAUCACCUCGCUCAGGGCGUGCUGCGGGUUCCGGCCGUUAAACAGCCUUACAAAACCCAAGGUUGACCUCGGAUCAGGUAGGAAGACCCGCUGAACUUAAGCAUAUCAAAAGCGGAGGA